UGGGGAAUUUUCCGCAAUGGGCGAAAGCCUGACGGAGCAAUACCGCGUGAGGGAGGAAGGCUCUUGGGUUGUAAACCUCUUUUCUCAGGGAAGAAGAUCUGACGGUACCUGAGGAAUCAGCAUCGGCUAACUCCGUGCCAGCAGCCGCGGUAAUACGGAGGAUGCAAGCGUUAUCCGGAAUCAUUGGGCGUAAAGCGUCCGCAGGUGGCUUGACAAGUCUGCUGUUAAAGACAGUAGCUCAACUACUGAAAGGCGGUGGAAACUGUCAAGCUAGAGUACGGUAGGGGUAGAGGGAAUUCCCAGUGUAGCGGUGAAAUGCGUAGAUAUUGGGAAGAACACCAGUGGCGAAGGCGCUCUACUGGGCCGUAACUGACACUCAGGGACGAAAGCUAGGGUAGCG
RNAcentral lists this ribosomal RNA (400 nucleotides) under uncultured bacterium. RNAcentral's name for it is "bacterial SSU rRNA". It matches the Rfam family "Bacterial small subunit ribosomal RNA", at positions 355 to 770 of the family's 1533-position model. The record is from RNAcentral.